AGGGAUGCCCAAGUUUCUGAGAAUUUCACAUCUACAGAAGAAGCAAAAAAAAAAAAAAAAAAAAAAAAAAAAAAAAAAAAAACCAAUGCACAAUCUGCGGUCACUUUUUGUUGUUGCUGGGUUCCUGACCCUGUGAUUGUAUUGUGUGUCCACCUAACAAAGUGCAAUACCAAAAAAAGAGAGAAAAAAGAAAAAGAACGAAAAUGGCACUUCAAAAACAGCAAAUACACCUACGGAAAACGCGAGGACGAAAGCUCAUGGUCUCGUUAUGCAAAUAACAACAGAAAUGGAAAGUGAUAAACGAAGUUAAACGGCUGCAGGAAAAGCAAAAUGUGUCAAAAAUCAAAGCCUAUCCCUUCCCAGUCUAAUAAGCUAGAAAUGAAAUUGAAAUAAUAUAUUUCCCAGACAGGUCAAGAACAUGAUAGGGGAAGGAGAAUCUUCAUGUUUGGAAGAAAUCAAUUCACAAAAGUUUGACCUUUCCUCUCCUAAAAUCUGGACUGAACGUAAGAAUGUAAGGAGACGAUAUAAAAAGCAAAGAGAAAGUGACGAGAUUAAAAUAAAAGAAUAUACAGCAUGGUGUAGCACAAAAGAAUAUGAAACUCGAAAUAUUUUCAAAAAAAAAGGUAUUUGAACAACAUAAAUGUCAAAUCAAAAUAUGCCCUUGAACGAGGCUUCCGGAAGCGGAAAAUGAUACAACGAAACCAAUGCAAUAUGGUGGUAUACGGGGAAUUUUUAUAUCGAGAGCACAAGAUGAGCACCUUGCCCAACGCCAACGCCAUACGCCUUAAAGCGCUCCGCAACUUCAAGUCCAAGCUCUUUCAUGCGUUCAGCACCUUUACCGGGUAAUGGCUUACGCUCAAGAUUCUCCUUUGCAGCUUUCCUACAGUGCUGGCGCCAGAAUUUUUCUUUCCGUUUCUGACGCUUCUUUUCGAGACCCACAACAAUAUCGAUAGGUCCGCGGGUGUGUAAGUCGUGGUUGCUGGAUUCGCUGGCGCUGGCCAUAUUAGGCAUUGCCUUUGUCAAUCGACGGCGUUCAAGCCGAGCGAAGAAAGGGUUUGGCGUGCGGGGGAGGGACCUCGUACGUGGCCGAUGGGGCCUCUGCGUGAGAUCGGUGAUGUUCAUACCGUCAGGGUGGAGCGCUGCAGCAGCGAGAUAAGGACGGCGUGGUGAGGGAGGAGAUCUCGAUUUCAUGACGGGUGGAGGCGAUCGUAGACGUCGGGGAGAAUUCCCAUAGGCACGCCGCGGAGGGGGUGACUGCAGACGUUUUGGAGAGCUUGAUGGAGUGACUUUACCGCUGCUGGCUUUCGGUCUUCCGCGAAGGCCCUCUAGAUCAUGUGCAUGAACCUUUUCUGUGAUGUCAUCAUGGUUGUCAUGAUUUUCAUCAUCGUCUCCAUCUUCGUCCUCGGGAUCUGUGGUGGGAAAACUCGGAUCAAUGUCCUGGGGGAUAAGGAUAUGUUUCGCCCGACGACGUUGCUCCAUGCAAGAAAUAUACGCGGCUUCCAAAGGGCGGUCUUCGUCGAGCGUCCCACAUACGAAAUCGGUGCUAUCAGGAAGAUGUGGUGUGGAAGGUCCAUACUUUUGGGGCUUGCUAGGCCGACGGUGCCUUUGGCACCGCCCGGAUUGCAGAGGUGGUGUCACUUCUUUGCGGCCGUUCUUCCGUUCGUUUGAAGAUUC
This 1674-nucleotide small RNA is filed under the name Histoplasma capsulatum var. duboisii H88. RNAcentral's name for it is "Histoplasma capsulatum H88 hypothetical RNA". Lineage: Eukaryota; Fungi; Ascomycota; Eurotiomycetes; Onygenales; Ajellomycetaceae. The record is from RNAcentral.